RNAcentral lists this long non-coding RNA (11506 nucleotides) under Nicotiana tabacum (common tobacco). RNAcentral's name for it is "long non-coding RNA (NTAB_LNC011627)". The record is from RNAcentral. Lineage: Eukaryota; Viridiplantae; Streptophyta; Magnoliopsida; Solanales; Solanaceae.
CGGCAAAUAUACCUCGAAGUCUCUGAAGAACGCCUCGCUUCACUGAAAAUAGGGCUGAGCCGAAGAACCUGGAUCUACACAUGAAAAACAUGUGCAGGAAAGGGCAUGAGUACACCACAGCGGUACUUAGUAAGUGUCAAGCCUAACCUCGGUCGGGUAGUGACGAGGAAGGUCAAGGCUCUACUGGUUAUAUAUAUAUGACAUGGUAAGAAGUAUGAAAUGAACCAGUAUGAUUAAAGUACUAACAGUUGGUAAGGAAUUAAAGACAAAGAAAGAAUAUAACUCAGUACACAGAAAUAACAACAGGGGGACUACCAGGAUAUCAUCUCGUAGUCCCAAACGUAAAUGUGCAGGGGGAUCUACCGGAAUACGGAUCCGUAGUCCCAAAGUAUAUAUCCAAUACAGGAGAAUCUACCAGGUGCUGUUCCGUAGUCCCAAAUCUAAAUGUGCAGGGAAUCUACUAGAAUAUCGAUCCGUAAUCCUAAAGUAAAUAUCCAGUACAGGGAAAUCUACCGGGUGCUGUCCCGUAGUUCCAAAUAUAAAUAUUCCGGGGGAUCUACCGGAAUACCGAUCCGUAGUCCCAAAGUAAACAAGCAGGGGAUCCCCGGGAUAUUGUCCUGUAAUCCCAAAGUGAACACACAACAAUAUCAGAAGAAUUUAUGGUUCUAUUAUAUAAUUAAACAGGAAAUUCUACUUUUACAUGCUGCACAGAGUACAAGUAGACAACUAAAGUAGGUAAGACAAUUAAAUCACAUAAUCAUGAUUUUCCUAAACUAAACAUGAGUUUUCAAGCACAAGUAUUGCUUAGUCACAAGAAAAAUACAGAUAUUUACGUAAUGGAAAUGGUUUUUUAAACAAUUAGAACGUGUACGCACUCGUCACCUCACGUGCACGACACUCAUAUAACAACAGUACCAAAUCCUAAGGGGAGUUCCACAAUACAAGGUUAGACAAGCCACAUACCUUGAACCGGCUCAAAAAUCAACCCGAAGUCACGCUCUUGCCACGAGUAUCCAACUUCGGGUUGCCCAAAUCUAAUCAAAAUAAUAUCACAACGUAAAUACAACUACAAACAACUAAUUUAGCUAAUGAAAUCGAAUCUAAGGCAAGAAAAUAGAAAAAAAAGCUAAAAAAUUCUUCCCGGGCCCAUCUCUCGAAAUCGGAUAAAAGUUACGGAUUACGAACUCCCAUUCACCCACAAUUCUAACCAUACCAAAAUUACUCCAAUCCGAUAAAAAAAUCUUGAUCAAAACCCCAAAAUUAAGCCUAAGAACUUUUCCAAAAUAUUUCCCAAUUUCUCACCCCAAAUCCUAAAUUAGAGGAUAAAUUCAUAAUUUGAUUAAUGGGUUAUAAGAAAAAAGGAGUUAGGAAUCAUUACUCACAAGCUUCCUCCGAAAAUCUCUCCAAAAUUUUCCUCCUACCGAGCUCCCAAUUCAAUUUUGCGAUAUGAGCCCAAAACCCUCGAUUUUGAAAUUUAUGUUCUGCCCAGACGCGUUCUUCUAUGCGAAAGCGAGACCAUUGUCGCAAACGCGAUGCAAAAAAAUCCACUGGCCAGUCUUCCUCCUUCGCGAAUACGAGGGUCCACUCGCGAACGCAUAGCUUACGCUGGCGAACCCUACGUGAACGAGAGGACCAUGUCGCGAACGCGAAGGCUUAAGGGUUCAUACCUUCGCGAACGCGGGAGCAUCAUCGCAAACGCAAAGCACAACUCAGUUGCUUCACCCAGAUGCUCUACGCGAACGUGAGACACCUCUCGCGAACACGAUGAAGGUUUUCUCUACAAUAUAACAACAGAAAAUCUGAAACUUCUCUAAGUCCAAAAAUGACCCGUUGAGCAUGUGAAACACACUCGAGGCCCCCGGGACCUCAACCAAACACUCCAACCAAUCCUAAAACAUCAUACGAACUUAGUCCAACUCUUGAAUCACAUCAAAAAAUGUUAAAACCAUGAAUCGCCCUCCAAUUAGAACCUAAAGAACUUGAAAUUUCAAGAAUCCAACAACCGAUGCCGAAACCAACCAAACCAAGUCCGAUUGACCCCAAAUUUUGCACACAAGUCACAUUCAAUAGUACGGACCUAUUCCAACUUUUAGAAUCGGAUUCCGACCCCGAUAUCAAAAUCUCGCUAUCGAUCCGGAAACUUUAAAAAUUCAACUUUCGGCAUUUCAAGUCUAAAUAAGCUACGGACCUCCAAAACACAAUCCGUACACGCCCCUAAGCCCGAAAUCACCAAACAGAUCUAACAGAAUACUAGGAAUUCCAUUCCGAGGCCAUCUUUAUACUGCUUUGACUACGGUCCAAAUUCUAAAUCUUAAGCUUUCAUUGAGGGACUAAGUGUCCCAAAAUACUUCGAAACUCAAAAUGAAUCCUCCCGGUAACUCACAAUAGCAGAAACAAAUACGGAGAAAGCAAUUAAUAGGGGAUCGGGGCGUUAAUUCUUAAAACGCCCGGCGGGGUCGUUACACAAUAGUAAUCAUGGUAUACUAUAUAUAAAGAAUAUUAUGGAUAUCACUUAAUAUACCGGUAAUUGUAGUAUAUCAUUAUUCAAAUGCAAUCAUGAUAUACUACAAAGUAUACCACAAAUAUUGGGAACCAUUUAACAUAAAUAAAGUAUAUUUGUUGAAUCAUAAUUUAAAAGUAAUCAUAGUAUAUCCUACAAUAUCCCUCAUGGUAUACGAUGUAGUAUACCAAGGGAUCUUAUGAAUAUUAUUUAACAUACUCAAAUAAAUUAUAACAUAAUGCACCAAUAAUCAUGAUAUAUUAUGUAGUAUUCCAAAAAAAGAGAAUAUCAUUUAAAUUUAAGAAAAAUACUUGAUAACAUAAUAAAAUAUUUUAUUAACAAGUGAAAUAAUAUAUUAACAACAUUAAUACAAAUAUAAAUACAAUUUUAGUAUCAUCUUUUUUUCAUUUUAAAAUGCAGAAAUAUUUUUGCCGCUUUGGUUAGGUUGACACUGUCAUGCCCCAAAAGCUAAAGUACUACAUGAUUGGCACUCAACUUAAGCAAUAUAUUGAGUGAACCCUUAACUAAGUUGUACUAAGAAUCAUGAUAACUGAAGUAAUCCAAAAUGAUGCCAUGGCAUAUUUAUUAACUAAAAAAACUAAAUUCAAAUUGAGUGUUAAGUCAUAAAUCUCAACAAAAUACCCAACUGAGAAUAAGAAUUGUGUAAUGUCCGCUAGACUAAGUCGCUUUUCACAUAUGACAAUGGAAUAUAGUAAGAAACUCUUAUCUCUCUCUAAAGCAACUCCCCCUAUUCCUCUAAUUACACGAGGCUCAUUCCCCAUUAAUGCACUAUCUUCAACAUGACCCAUCUUCCAACUAAUUAUACACCAACCACAACUGAUCCUCUAGAUCUUAGUUAGAUGCACUUGGAUGUUGUGCCGACCUGAUAGGUCACUUUAAGUACUAGCCUUAAUUAUCAUGAUUCGAGAACUUCCUUAGCUUCAUUUGAUAUUUCUUGGUUUGUGUGUGUGAUCUGUGUCACUUUUCGAAAUGUUUUUAUGUGAAAUUUUGAAGAAAAUUAGAGUGUUGACUAAAAAUGACGCUGGAGUUGAUCACGGUCAAAAUUCAAGGUAAACUACCCCGGAUUUGUAUUUUGACAAUUCUAGAUUUUGUGAUUUUGGAUUUGGGCAUAUACCAGGAAUUGAAUUCGGAGAUCCCUAGGUGGAUGACUUGUUUUGUCGAAAGUUUGCAAUUUGUAUGUUUGGAAAUUUUCUAGGUUUGAUCGUAGUUUGACUUUAUGGUUAUCGAGUUCGAAUUUUUAUUUUGGAACUUGAAAUAGGUUCAUAUUGCUAUUUUAAACUUGUCUACAAAAUUCAAUGUAAUUCGGAGUUGGUUUGGCAUGAUUAAGAUGUUUGGUUGGAAUUCUGGAGAUUCUUCAGUUUUUUUUUUGAAUUUAAUACGUUUUGAUGCCCGAUUCGUGAUUCUAGAUGUUAUUUUGAUGAUUUGAUUGUGUGAGAGAGUUUAUAUGUUGUUAUUACACUUGUGUGCAUGUUUGGUCUGGAGCCCGAGUGGCUCGGAUGAGUUUCGAAUAUGUUAUGGAUGAGGUCGGUGUCAUGACCCCAAUUUCCCUCCAUAGGAUGUCGUGACGGCAACUUGUCUCUCAGACUAGGUAAGCCCAACACUUACUGAAUUAAUAGUAAAAUUCAACCAUCAACUGAUGACUAUGAAAUAUAAAUCUCUAUACACCACAUACAAUCCCAAAACCAGUAGUACAAGUUAUAAGCUCUAUUAAGUUUUCUAGAAAAUUCCAAAAUGCAACUGUUCGGGAUAGAAAUAAACUGUACAAGAGGAAAUUUCAGAAGGUGACUCUGAGGCCUGCGAACGCAACGAUAGGUUUACCUUGAGUCUCCACAGCAAACCCAAACAACUAGCUAGUGAACAACCAACUUCGAAGUACCUGGAUCUAUACAAAAAUAUGCAGAAGUGUAGAAUGAAUACACCACAGUGAUACCCAAUAAGUAUCAAGACUAACCUCGGUAGAGUAGUGACGAGAGAUAGUACUCCUACUAGACUAAACAACCUGAACAAGUAUGAAGGCGAACUAACAGAGAAACAAUAUUAAUAUAAAGCUAAUUAAGCAUGGUAAGGAGUACAAAACAAUGCUUGCAAUGAUAUACUAGUAACAACAAUUUUUAAUAUGAAGCAAACAGGUAAUAAUGUUGUAGAGUAAGCUAAAUACAAUCUAAGUCCGAUGAAAUCAAAUAAAAGAAAAAUCAAUAACAACUGAAUAAGAAUAAUCACUUUCACACCAGAUUUAUUCAAGAAUUUCCAUGAGGUACCAAAUCUCAUAAUCACAGAUCCCCGGUCCCAAUUCAUGAAUCCUAAUCACUUAGCAUCUUGUGCCCAUAUUACAAUUCAUGAACAAACAGGCGAUUCAUGUACCAAGAGAGUGACAAUAUCUAAUAUCCGCACGGACCACUCAUGUGCCAACAAUAACAAUGACUCAUGACCAUACAGACACUCAAGUGCCAGUAGAACAACUCUCACACAGAAGGUAAGUAGACGAGAGUACAUGUAAAUGGUCUAUAACAUCAGGAUUCAUCUUAUUAAACCUAUAUGGGUGAUUAAAUCAUGUGUAUGCUUGUGCAAGUGUCCUAACAUAACUCAAGUCAACAAGUAAGAGUAGUAACAAUAAAUGGCACAUAAGAAACGAUCACCACAAAAUGUACUAUAUAAUAAAGACAGUAAACAACAAGAUCAACUACACAGAACUAAACAAAUAUUGCAACACGAAGAAGGACAAUUAAUAGUAUGCAAAGGAAACAAUGAUCAAAGACAUGUACAAAAGAAUGAGAAAAUGUCAAUAAGAGUCACUACUGAGGUACCACCUCGUUGUCUCAAAUAACGAAAUGUAUCACAAUCUUUUCUUAUAUCACUGCGGGAGCCUUUACAUUUAGUUUUGAAAAUUAUUUUUCCCAAAAUAGCAUUCCACGUUUUAUCCCACCUUAUCAAAUCGUAUGGCUUCUAGCAGUUCCCCUACUAGUCAAGCGUAUCAAGCCCACCUUAUCUCACCCCAUGCGUUUCAACACCCAGACUUUAUACCACCGCAUGCGUAUCAAUAUCACAACGUAUCACAAUCGGACGUCAAGUGCCCACAAUCACAAUUUGCUAGAGAAACCAAGCAAUAAUAGAAUUUCACAAUAAGGAGCCCACAACUCAACCUCAAUGUACAACAACAACAACUACAACAAUAAUACGAGAAUAUAGCAAGUAAAUAAUCACAAGACCUUCAUAAAUUAAAGAAACGAAAGAACGAGCUCACAAAGAAAGGCACAAUAGGGGAUAAUGGUCUCCACAAGAAUAGCUCAACUAUGGAGAGAUAAUGUGUAUCAAUUAUUCCACAAUAGUACAAUUUGACGACAAUAGAGAUAACAUGAAUAAUUAACUCCAAAUAAGAAUACGUCAAUAAUGAAAUGAAUAACAAACUUCAUUCUCUCAUUACAGAAAGGAUAGCAUGAUAAUAAAAGAGGCAACAACUUCAAUUAAGGCACAUAAGAGUCUAAUCGGUAAUAAGGGUAGAACAUGAAGCAAUUAAUUUUAAAUAAGACACGUAAGGGUGAAUUUAGUAGGGUAAUUUAACAUGACAAAACAACUUUAUAUCUAAUGAACAUAAGAACCUAAGAGCCCUAAAUGGUCAAAUUUCCACAAAUAAGCUCGAGCGCGUACUCGUCACCUCGCGUACGUAGCCUUCACAUGAAACAAUUAGCAUAAAUAACUGAAAUCCUAAUGGGUAGUUCCCUCACACAAAGUUAGGCAAGAUACUUACCUCAAAUAAGCUAGACCGAUACUCUAAAAUGACCUUUUUGAGUGAAACAACCUUCGGAUGACCAAAAUCUAGCAAAAAUAACUUCAAAUCAUAAAUAAAACUCAUAGAAAACAAUUCCUGAUAAUAAAGAUUUGAUCUUUAAUUAAAACUAAAAAGUCAACCCCCAAGACCGCACCUCGAAAUCUCAUAAAAUUCAAAAAAAAAUGAACACUCAUUCCGAUACGAGUCCAACCAUACAAAAAUUAUCAAAUUCUGAUAUCGAAUCGCCCUACAAAUACUCAUUUUACAUUUUGAAUAAUUUUUACAAAGUUUCCCAUUUUCUUCUCUUCAAUUCAAUAAUUUAAUGAUAUAAAUAAGUUUGAAAUCAUGAAAUGUAAACAAUUUCGAAUAUAGAAUUCUUAUAAGCAAUUUCAAAUGUAACCCUUCAAAAAUCGCCCAAAUCUAAGGCAUUUAUCUUAAAAUGUGAUAAAAUAGCCAAACCCUCGAAAUAGAGUUCUUAUAACUCUGCCCAGUCAUUCCUCAUAUGCGACUACGGAAUACACCCCGCGAUCGUGGAAAGAAAAAAUCAGUACUCAUGGAAAUAAGCUAUGCGUUCUCCAAAAGCACCUCGCGAACGCGAUGAACACAUUACAUAACCUUCGCGAACGCAUACCAUAUUUCGCGAAUGCAAUGAGUAACAUUCCACCAGUCCUCAGCUCCCUUAUGUGAAUGCGGAACACACUACGCGAACACGAACAACAACCAGCUAAACCUUCACGAAUGCAUGCCCAUUGUCGUGUUCGCGAUGAGAAAAAUACUAUGUUUCCCAGAAUCACUUCGCUAUCGCAUCUUCAUCUUCGCUAUCACGAAGAGCAAUAGUGACACCCGAAACCAACAACUCAAAUCAUGAAGAAAUGGCCCUAGCCCAUCCGGAACACACCUGAGACCCCCGAGAUCCCGUUGAAAUAUACGAACAAGUUCCAUAACAUAACAUGGACCCACCCUAGGUAUCAAAUCACAUAAAACUAUGUCGAAACUAUGAAUCGUACUACGAAUCGAACUUAUAAAUUUUCCAAUCUUCUAACUUCCAAAACUAGCACUGAAACAUAUCAAAUCAACUCAAAAUAACGUCAAAUUUUGCAUUCAAAUUCCAAAUGGCAUAAAAGCAACUAAUCAAACUCUUGAAAUUGCAUUCCGAUCCCGAUAUCACCAAAGUCAACUCUUGAUCAAACCUCUUAACCUUUUAAAACUUCAACUUUCCAAUUUAGCAGAAAUGCUUCAAAUUAUCCUACGAACCUUUGAAUCUAAAUUCGAACGCAUGCCUAAGUCCAAAAUCAGCAUACGAAGCUAUUAAAAUCAUCAAAACACCAUUUUAGAGUCGUCUACAUAAAAUCAAACUGCAGUUAACUCUUAUUGCUUAAGAUUCUAAAACAAGAAUCCUUCUUCCAAAUUGACCUUGAAUCCUCCAAAACUAAACUCGGGCACACAUGCAAGUGAUAACACAUAAUUCAAAGCUGCUCGAUACCUUACGUUGUCGAACAAGACGAUAAUUUUUAAAACAACCGGCCAAGUCAUUACAAUUGUUGAUUUGAGGAUUGUUGGUGCAGUGCUUAGCAAUUGUGAGGUCGGGCUCAGAUUUGCAAGCAUCGUUUUUGCGAACAAUAGUUUGCAUUUGUGAGUAGUGGCCUCGGCUAGGUGGCAUUGUAUUUGUGAGGAAAUGGUUCACAAUCACAAAUUGGCUGGGACCGCUUUUGCGAUCAUCUUGGUUGCAUUUGCGACCUCUGGAACUUUGGACAACAUCGCAUUUGUGAAGCUUUGGGCGCAUUUGCAAUGGGAGCAGACAUCACAAUUGCGAAGUCAAUGUCGAAUUUGUACCUUCCGUUUUGAAUAACAGGCACUGCAAUUGCGAGUCAUUCUUUGCAAUUGUGAGGGCUCGCAAUUACAAACCCGUAAAUGCAAUUACAACACAUGCGCCUGAACAUAAGGUCUGAAAAUCGAGAUUUGAGUCUCAUGCUCUCAUUUUGGAACCCCAAACUCGGUAGGAGGCGAUUUUGAGAGGGGAUUUUUACCUACAAUUAUUGGGUAAUUGAUUUUGAUCUAUUUUCAAUUAUAUUACACGAUUAUACAUUAGAUUUAACAUCAAAUUCAUGAUAAUAUAAUAGAAAUUUUGGAGAUUUUUAUCUAUGUUUUUAAAAAAUAAAAAUUUGGAAUUUUAGAGUUGAAUUGGACUUGGAUUUUGAAAUAAAAUACAUAAAUAAACUCGUGGGGUUAUAGGUAGUCAAGAUCUACACUUGAACUCGGGUUUUGACCGGGCGGGACCGGACUUGACUUAAAAAACGGUCGUGGUUGAGUGUUAAUUUGGUUGCGGAAAGAGGUAAGUAUUGUGUAUAACCUUGACUUGAGGAAAUUAGGACCCGUUGAUCCAUUUUCUAUGUGAAUUAUGUGGAGAAACGUCGCAUAUCCGAGGUGUCGAGUUUAUAUGCACCGUUGUGGAAUUUAGCAUGAGAGAGUGGGCAAUUUAUUUCCAUAUCUUUGUCAUUCAAUGUUAUUUCUUGUUAUAUGCUUUAAUUAUUGCACUUGACAUCUAUGUUUUACUUGUUCACUUGUUACUUCAUUGUUAUUUACUUGAUUUGUUCAUUUCUCAUUCAAUAAUCUGCUUACUUGCUAUUUGUUCCUACUUGCCUUAUUUGUAUAUUCUCAUUAUCACAUGUUUUACCUACUUUUAUUGUCCUUCUAUUAAUAGAUGUACUCUAUUAUGUUAUUUUGCUUUCGUGAGUCAUUUAGCCAUUCUUGUAUAAUGAGUUGUUAAGGCUUAGAAUAUCGAUGUGUUGGAUAUCUUCCAUUCGUAUUGGUGGGUCAUAAAUGUAUUGUGUGCUCCAUCUUUUUUGGUUUUGAUAUUUCUUAAAUAUUGGUAUUGAGUUGUUUAUGUUAAUAAUUUAAUAUUGUUGGGAUCGGAUUGCGCGCUGCAACGAUAUUGAUAUGAAUUGAUAUUGUGGGAUUAGGCUGCACACCACAGCAGCGUUGAAAUGAUAUGAUAUUGUAAUGACCCGACCGAUUGUUUUGAGAGUUCUAGCCAUGUUUCCCCAUUUAUUGUUCCUUUUUGUAACUUGUCGGGUUUGUCAGUUCGGGUCCGAAGAGGUUUCGAAAUGAAUUGAGACACAUAGUCUCAAAGUUGAAAGCUUAAGUAGAGAAAGUUGACAGGAUAUUGACUUACGUGCAAAUGACUCCAAAAUGGAGUUUUGAUGGUUCUGUUAGCCCUUUGGGUGAUUUCGAACUUAGGAACAUAUCCGGAUUGUGAUUUGAAGGUCCGUAGUGAAAUUAGGCUUCAAAUGGUGAAAGUUGGAAAUUUGAAAAGCUUGACUGGGAGUAGACUUCUUGAUAUCAAGGGCAUAUUGGAAUUUUGGGAUUUGGAGUAAGUCCAAGGUGUCAUUUGUGACUUGUGUACAAAUUUUAGGGUCAAUCGGAUGUGAUUCAAUAGGUUUCGGCGUCGUUAAUAGAAAUUGGAAGUUUAAAGUUCAUUAGGCUUGAAUCAAUGUGUGAUUCAUGUUUUUGAUGUUGUUUGAGGUGAUUUUAGGGCUCGAAUAAAUUCGUAUGAUAUUUUGGGAGACGAUGGUAUGUUUGGUUGAGGUCCUUGGGGCAUCGGGUGAGUUUCAGAUAGUUAACGGAUCAAUAUUGGACUUGGCAUUUCAGUUGAAGACUACUGGUAUUUUGUUACUGGUUUCCUUUUAUGCGAUCGCAUGGGCAGGUCCGCGACCAUGUGUCACGCCUCUUUUUUACCACCCCGAAAGUAGUAUAAGGGAGUUUUUCCAAUUAAAGUGACGUGGAAACGAGAUUAUUUUAUUUAAAAUUCAGAGUUGCCACUUGGGAUAAUUUAUGGUAUCCCAAAUCACCGGUUUAAAAUCCCAAAUCGAGGAAGUUUGACUCUGUUUACGGUUCGCGAACACAGAAAUCCAGGUAAGGAAUUCUGUUAACCCGGGAGAAGGUGUUAGGCAUUCCCGGGUUCUGUAAUUUUAGCACGGUUGCUUUGAUCAUACUUGGCUGGUUAAAUUGUCUAAUUACUUAUUUUAGAAUGGAUUAAAAUGUAUGGCUCAAGUUUUAUACCACAGGGUCCUUGCAUAUGUCUAUGUCCCAUUUAAACUCCAAAUAAUCAGGUUCUUACCAUCGCAUGGCCCAAAUAUCUUAGCUAAUAGUCUGUUUUAUAAUCUAGCCCAUUAUCAAUUAAACCCAGGUCCAAACUAACUCUUCAAAUCAGUCCAUCCUAAAAGACCGAAUCUUUGAGAUAAUCACAGCUCCAUUCUUAAACAUCUUUAUUUUUUACAACUAAUACUUCAUGAAACUUUAGAGAUUUUCUCCAAAUUAUAUUAAACUAAUAAUGAAUAAUGAAAAAUUCAAGCCUUAACUAAUCAUGGAACUAACUUUCCUAUAAAACUAAACCAUUAAAUAUAACUAAAUUAUUUUAAGAAAACUAACCAGGAGCAGAAAAACUAUUGUUGCUUAUGGAUUAAAAGGGAGCAAACAUGUUCUUGCUAAACUUUGAACAAACAAAAGAUAACAAACUAAUGGACAAAAAUAAAGAAAACCUGCUCGAACAGAAAAGAAGCAGCAGCGCUGGAACCAUGCCGGCAACUCGAACGAAACCGACCUCACUCAAACUCCAUCUUGGAAAAGCGAAAAUCCGAAACAAGGAAGAUGAAACAGAACUUUUUAUGUGCUCUAUUUUGUAGUUGUCUUGCGAAUUAGUUUUAGAUGUUAGAAUAGUGACAAACUGAUUUUUGACGGAGCUUAGGACGAAAAGAAGAUGGGAGAUUUUGCUCUCUCUGUUUUCAACAUCUCUUUCUCAUGUGCCUUCUAUUUCGUCUUCUCACUCUAUGUGUGUGCGUGUGUGUGUAUGGCUGCUGGUUCGAUAUGGUAGAGGCAUAGAUGGGGUUGUUUGGUGUGAGGUGAGAGGUUUUCCUAAAGGUCCAUGGCUGUUGUAGCUGUGAUAGAUGAAGAAAAAGAAGCAGUGGCGAUGGGUGGUUGUUGCGGUGGUGUUGCGUAUAGAACUGGUGAACGUUGGUUGUUGCUGAAGGUUUAGGGAUGAAGAAACCGAGGUUCAAGCCAUUGGAAUGUGAAGGAGAGGAGGAGGGUCGUAUGGGGUGGGGUUCGAAAUUGUUCUCUGCUGCUUCUUUAGAUGCUUAUUUUGUAUAUGUUCGUCCAAAUCUAGAAGAAGAACGGCGGAUAGCUAUACGGGUAUAGGUCUUAGAGUCUAGGUAUUUUUUAGG